RNAcentral lists this small RNA (2636 nucleotides) under Pongo abelii (Sumatran orangutan). RNAcentral's name for it is "processed transcript". Lineage: Eukaryota; Metazoa; Chordata; Mammalia; Primates; Hominidae. The record is from RNAcentral.
GGUGCAGACUUUCCGAGACCUGGUUUGGUUGUGUCCUCAGUGUACUGAAGCUGUGUGUCAGGCCCUGCCCGGCUGUGAAGAGAACAUUCAAGAUAGUGAGGUAGACUAUAAUUUUCCUUUACUUCUAGGUAGAGGGAGAAUGCUUGAAACCCUGCCCUUUGAAAUGGAAUCUAAUUAUUCUCUCUACCCUGUGUUUGAAGUGGACACUCUUCGAAUUGAUUGCCACCUUAGAUUCUCUUUUGGAUAUAGAUGGCAUAUAAAUUAUAAAGACAAGAUUUAUCUGACGUUUUUUAUUACAAAACUCUGAUACCAUUGUUCUCUUGAACAGUUUUGUUUUGUUUUGUUUUGCUUUGCUUGAGAUAGAGUUGCCCAGGCUGGAGUGCAGUGGUGCGAUCUCGGCCCACUGCAACCUCUACCUCCCAAACUCAAGUGAUUCUCUUGCCUCAGCCUCCCGAGUAGAGUAGCUGGGAUUACAGGUGUGCGCCACCACGCCCAGCUAAUUUUUGUAUUUUUAGUAGAGAGGGUUUUGCUAUGUUGUCUAGGCUGGUCUAGAAUUCCUAGCCUCAAGUGAUCCACCCGCCUCAGCAUCCCAAAGAGCUAGGAUUACAGGCAUAAGCCACUGCGCCCCACCUCUCUUGAACAGUUUUGAGUCAGAGAUUUAGACCAUGGAGUUUUUAGCUAGAAUGAGAAUUAUAAUCAUUUGUGAAAUUUUUACAAAGAUUUGGACGUAAUCACAGGUCUACUGACUUAAAUAUUCAGGGGUGUUGGACCUAGACAGAUAAAACUUUUUUUUUUUGAGACAGAGUCUAGCUCUGUUGCCCAGGCUGGAGUGCAGUAAUGCCAUCUUAGCUCACUGCAACUUCCGCCUCCUGGUUUUGGGCAAUUCUCCUGCCUCAGCCUCUCGAGUAGCUGGAACUACAGGCGUGCACCACCACGCCUGGCUAAUUUUUGUAUUUUUAAUAGAGACGGGGUUUCACCAUGUUGGCCCGGCUGGUCUCGAACUCCUGACCUCAGGUGAUCCACCCUCCUCAGCCUCCCAAAGUGCUGGGAUUACAGGCGUUAAGCCACCGUGCCCGGCUGACAGAUACAUUUUUAAGAAGCUUCACAGAUGACUCUGAUGUGCACUCUAGGUUAGUAACCAUUUUUGUGAAAAAUUUAGAGAAAUUCUUUGAGCAGCUGCUCAAAGGCCCCAAACCUGAGGAAACCUUAUUUAUUGCUUAAUCCAACAUAGGCUAUGAAAGUUUUGAGUUUCCUCUUGUGUAUUAGAAUUUCAUUCCUGUUUGUUGUAGAGAGUAUAGUAGGGGGAAUCAGUAAAUUAAAUGAAGUAAACUAAAGAUUAUACCUUUUCUGCUGGCACUAAGCGAAAAGCAAAACCAGUGGCUGUCUAUUAUCUCCUGUGUUUUAGACAGUCAAGUGUUGAGCACUUGCUCUUAUUCCUUUAUUCUCUAGGGGAAGCAAGCACUUAUUUGGCUACUUGGUGUCCAUGGGGAAAGAAUUCCUAAUGCUCCUUAUGUGUUAGAGGACUUUGUUGAGAAUGUGAAGUCGGAAACAUUUCCAGCUGUUAAGAUGGAGCUGCUCACUGCUUUGCUGCGCCUUUUCCUCUCCCGACCUGCUGAGUGCCAGGACGUGCUAGGACGUUUGUUGUAUUACUGCAUAGAGGAAGAAAAAGAUAUGGCUGUACGGGACCGAGGUCUCUUCUAUUAUCGCCUCCUUUUAGUUGGCAUUGAUGAAGUUAAGCGGAUUCUGUGUAGCCCUAAAUCUGACCCUACUCUUGGACUUUUGGAGGAUCCGGCAGAAAGACCUGUGAAUUGCUGGGCCUCAGACUUCAACACACUGGUGCCAGUGUAUGGCAAAGCCCACUGGGCAACUAUCUCUAAAUGCCAAGGGGCAGAGCGUUGUGGCCCAGAGCUUCCUAAAACUUCAUCCUUUGCUGCAUCAGGUAAAAACAGCCCUUACCUUAAAUCUUGUCAUGAUAAAUCUUUACCUUUUCAAUGAUUGGUGGAAAGUAGAGUAUCCUAGCACUAAACCUCAGACUGUUGCCUGAAUUUGAAGCAUUUGUGAGCAAGAAAGAGGUUUGUCACUGGUUAUUUCAGCCAUUUGUCCAAAGAUAAAAGUCACAUUGUGUACAUUUGGGAAUUUGGAUAAAAAACUUAGCUCCUGCAGAUUAAGAACAUCUUUCACGCAAGUUUUCUGUGUCUUUUAGGACCCUUGAUUCCUGAAGAGAACAAGGAGAGGGUACAAGAACUCCCUGAUUCUGGAGCCCUCACGCUAGUCCCCAAUCGCCAGCUUACUGCUGAUUAUUUUGAGAAAACUUGGCUUAGCCUCAAAGUUGCUCAUCAGCAAGUGUUGCCUUGGCGGGGAGAAUUCCAUCCUGACACCCUCCAGAUGGCUCUUCAAGUAGUGAACAUCCAGACCAUCGCAAUGAGUAGGGCUGGGUCUCAGCCAUGGAAAGCAUACCUCAGUGCUCAGGAUGAUACUGGCUGUCUGUUCUUAACAGAACUGCUAUUGGAGCCUGAAAACUCAGAAAUGCAGAUCUCUGUGAAACAAAAUGAAGCAAGAACCGAGACGCUGAAUAGUUUUAUUUCUGUAUUAGAAACUGUGAUUGGAACAAUUGAAGAAAUAAAAUCAUAACAGAG